RNAcentral lists this long non-coding RNA (465 nucleotides) under Homo sapiens (human). Its description in RNAcentral is "HSALNT0097686". Lineage: Eukaryota; Metazoa; Chordata; Mammalia; Primates; Hominidae. The record is from RNAcentral.
CCUGCCUUGUGUGCAGCUCUAGUCUCCAUGGAACCCUAAGGUUGGGCUCCUGCCCUCAAGAUCAUUGUGAAGAUUCAAGGAGGUACUGCAUGGCGAUGCCUGGCAUUCCACAAGUGCUCGGUUCCCGCGAGGCAGACUGAGACUUGAGAAUUCUUGUAUUGUGUUAUCGUGGGGAUCCUGGAACCAAACUCUCAUGGAUACUGAGGCUGUGAGAUCCUUCCAGAUAGGCCAGAACUGUACUCAGAUGUAAGAACCUGGCUCAAGGGCCCUAGAAGAAAGAGCUGAUCCCAGGUCAGGGUUGGGAAAUGUACAACACAUUGAGACAACGUGGGACGUCUUUUCACACCAGAAAGCAAAGAAGCCAUCAAAGCACAAAGGCAAUGAUGAUAAAAAGACACAAGAGCCACUGGCAGGAGUCCUCACUGGCCAAAAAUUGAAAAAUUUGACCUUCAAAAAGAACAGUAA